Non-coding RNA from Meleagris gallopavo (turkey), 2476 nucleotides. Lineage: Eukaryota; Metazoa; Chordata; Aves; Galliformes; Phasianidae. The record is from RefSeq and is a predicted model, not a curated record.
CUGUGGGGUGGGGGAUCCGCAGGAAGAUGCAUUGAAACGGUGGGAUGUGGGCAGAACGUGGAGAUAAGGGAAAAGGAAGACGGGGAUCUGGACAGCACAGGGAGAUCUGGGCUGAAAGAAAGAAAGGAAAGAAAGAGAAAAAGCAAAAGAGAUAAGAAAUAAAAGACAAGGCAAGAAAGGAAAGAAAGAAAGAAGGAGAGAAAGAAGGAAGAGACAGAAGGAAAGGAAGAAAGGAGAAUCUCCAAGCCCUGUUGGACGCAGAGGGGAACGCGGUGAGCCAGGGUCAGGAUCAGGCUGAGGUACUCAGUGCCUCCUUUGCCUCAGUCUUUCCUAGUAAGGCCGGUUGUUCCCUGGGCACGCAGCCCCUUGUGCUGGUGGGUAGGGAUGGGGAGCAGAAUAGUCAUAACCCACGAUGAGAUGGUUUUGGACCUGCUUUGAAAGCUGCACACCUACAGGUCCAUGGGGCCGGAUGGAUUGCACCCUAGGGCGCUGAGGGAGUUGGGAAAUGUGGCUGCAAAGCCCCUCUCCAUCAUCCUUCAGCAGUCCUGGCUAAGUGGGAAUGUGUUCCUGACUGUCCCUGAACGUGUCUAAAAACUGUCUGGAUGUGGUGCUCAGGGACAUGAUUUAGGAGUGGGUUGUUAGAGUUAGGGUAGGAAGGUCAGGUUGUGGUUGGGCUUGAUGAUCUUUAAUGUCUUUUCCAACCUGAGCAAUUCUAUGAUUCUACGAGAUUUAACCCCUCCAUUCUUGUGGGAGCUGUGAUGGGACUUGCAGUGUCUCUGGCUUGCCCAGAAUUACUUUCUCCAGGCUGAUUCCUAGGUCCUGGCAUUUCUUUAAAGCCAAGUACACACCUCUGUCCAGUUUCUGCACCAGAUCCUACAAUGACAUCUCUGACAGCUUUCUCCUCUAAGGAAGAACACAGCAGUUCUUCCUUAGAGGCUCUAAGCUUGGUAGAUAGGAUGUGAGAAGGGCACAGCCUGGACCAGGACUUGAAUAACGAGCUCAGCUCACUGCUGGCAUGUGUUCUGUAGUCCCUCAGGUCCUGCAGAGUGGCGCUGGACUCACGGAGCAGCACGGCGUGGUGCAGGGGAUGUACCGGCUGUCCGGCGUCGCGUCCACCAUCCGCACACUGCAGCACGGAUGAAGAUGCCACCAUCGACAUCUUGCCAAACUAAAUGUUUCCCAACAUCAGCCAGUUCUGACCACCUAUAAGAGCACUACUGGCAGGGAUUUGAUGGAUGACUUGAAGUCAGAGCUGAGUGAGAAUUUAGAGAGGGUGAUCAUUGGGAUGAUGACUUCCACCACCAUGUAUGACGUGCACAAACUAAGGAGGGCUGUGAAGGGAAACAGAGAUGAAGGAAUGUAUGUGGAUGAUGCUCUUGCUCAGCAAGAUGCUCAGCAAAGUGCGUACGAAACGAGCCUGUGUGCUUUGCUGAAAGGCUGUGUAAACCCAUGAAGGUAAACAGGUUGUGGAGUAAAAUUGCUUGCUUCUUUCUUGCACUUUCGUGCUCGAGUCAGCAGCAUCAUGGCAAUCGUGAGAUGGAAGCUGCAGCCAGCCAGGAAACUGGCUUUUCCAGGGAAGCUCAGGCUUUUCUGCACAUCAGACAUCAGUCAUAUUCAGGAGCAAGUGCUGGUAAUGGAUCACUCCAUUAAUGCAGAAAUGCUCUAAUAAAGAGCAGCUCCUGCACCAGACUGGGCACUGAGACCUUUGUGUCUGUGGGUGAUUCUCCAGCAGUUCUGUGGUUGCUUUGCUUUCCAGGGCCUGGGAACAGCCGACAGCACUCUGAUCAGUGAUGGUGUCCUGCUCCGAAAUUGAUAUGCUGGAUAUCAGAAGGGAAUUCCUGACCACGUAUGGGAACUCCUCUAUUCCUUCAUGAAGUUGACAAAGUGUGUCUUGUCGCUGUGAGUCCAAACCACUGAUGGAAGUGCUGAUGAGACAAGUGGCCAGACCCCCCGGACUCACAUGAGCACCGCCUGGACACCCCAAGACACCUCUGGGACAUCUGCAGACCCUUCUGGAUGACUCCAGGACCACUCAGACCCACACGAGGACUCCCUGGACCCUACCAGACCCUACUGGGACAUCUCCAGAUCAGCCUGGGGACUCCUCAGAUCUCCUGGGCCCACAGUGGGAACUUCCAGAUCCUUCCAGGGUGCCACCGGACCAACCUGGGGACUGCCUGGACAGCCCAAGACCCCUCUGGGACAUCUCCAGACUCUUCUGGAUGAGUCUGGAACCCCCUGGAUGCCCCCAGACCUCUGUAGGAUGUCUCGUGCAGAUCCUUCUGUAUGAUUCCAAGGGGGGGUAAGGGGGGUUGUAGUGGGGGGAGGAAAGGGUCAGCAGACUUCUGUGGGCUGGAGAGGGGGGUUGUGUGGAAUCUAGGGCGGAAGGUGUGAGUAGGGCUUCUGUGGGGUGGAAAGUGGGUCUGGUGAUGGAAGGAGGGGUGGGAGGGGAAAAUGGGGAGUUGUGGGGAGCUUC